RNAcentral lists this ribosomal RNA (524 nucleotides) under Desulfovibrio sp. AR1203/00. Its description in RNAcentral is "bacterial SSU rRNA". It matches the Rfam family "Bacterial small subunit ribosomal RNA", at positions 367 to 884 of the family's 1533-position model. Lineage: Bacteria; Pseudomonadati; Thermodesulfobacteriota; Desulfovibrionia; Desulfovibrionales; Desulfovibrionaceae. The record is from RNAcentral.
CGCAAUGGACGAAAGUCUGACGCAGCGACGCCGCGUGGAGGAUGAAGGUUUUCGGAUCGUAAACUCCUGUCAAGAGGGAAGAAACCUAUCAAGAUUAAUACUCUUGGUAAUUGACGGUACCUCUAGAGGAAGCACCGGCUAAUUCAGUGCCAGCAGCCGCGGUAAUACUGAAGGUGCAAGCGUUAAUCGGAAUCACUGGGCGUAAAGCGCUCGUAGGUGGCUUUGUAAGUCAGGUGUGAAAGCCCACGGCUCAACCGUGGAAUUGCACUUGAUACUGCAUCGCUAGAGUAUAGGAGAGGGAAGUGGAAUUUCUGGUGUAGGAGUGAAAUCCGUAGAGAUCAGAAGGAACACCCGUGGCGAAGGCGACUUCCUGGACUAUUACUGACACUGAGGAGCGAAAGCGUGGGGAGCAAACAGGAUUAGAUACCCUGGUAGUCCACGCCGUAAACGAUGGGUACUAGGUGUUGGGGGCUUGACCCUCGGUGCCGUAGUUAACGCGUUAAGUACCCCGCCUGGGGAGUACG